RNAcentral lists this ribosomal RNA (477 nucleotides) under uncultured anaerobic ammonium-oxidizing bacterium. RNAcentral describes it as "bacterial SSU rRNA". It matches the Rfam family "Bacterial small subunit ribosomal RNA", at positions 365 to 832 of the family's 1533-position model. The record is from RNAcentral.
UUCGCAAUGCCCGAAAGGGUGACGAAGCGACGCCGCGUGAGCGAAGAAGGCCCUAGGGUUGUAAAGCUCUGUCCAGGGUUAUGAAAUAUAGAUGGGUUAAUACCCCAUUUAUUUGACAAAAGCCCAAAAGGAAGCCACGGCUAACUCUGUGCCAGCAGCCGCGGUAAUACAGAGGUGGCGAGCGUUGUUCGGUAUUAUUGGGCGUAAAGAGCACGUAGGUGGUUUUGUAAGUCAGGUGUGAAAGCCUUCUGUUCAAAGGAAGAACGGCAUCUGAAACUGCAGAUCUUGAGUGUAGGAGGGGAGAGUGGAACUUCUGGUGGAGCGGUGAAAUGCGUAGAUAUCAGAAGGAACGUCGGCGGCGAAAGCGACUCUCUGGCCUAUUACUGACACUGAGUGUGCGAAAGUUAGGGGAGCAAACGGGAUUAGAUACCCCGGUAGUCCUAACUGUAAACGAUGGGCACUAAGUAGAGGGGUUUU